Molecule: ribosomal RNA, 498 nt
Filed under: uncultured bacterium
Lineage: Bacteria
Description: partial 16S ribosomal RNA
Rfam family: Bacterial small subunit ribosomal RNA
Source: RNAcentral
AUUGAACGCUGGCGGCAUGCCUUACACACGCAGGUCGAACGGUAACAGGUCUUCGGAUGCUGACGAGUGGCGAACGGGUGAGUAAUACAUCGGAACGUGCCUAGUAGUGGGGGAUAACUACUCGAAAGAGUGGCUAAUACCGCAUGAGAUCUACGGAUGAAAGCAGGGGAUCGCAAGACCUUGUGCUACUAGAGCGGCCGAUGGCAGAUUAGGUAGUUGGUGGGAUAAAAGCUUACCAAGCCGACGAUCUGUAGCUGGUCUGAGAGGACGAUUAGCCACACUGGGACUGAGACACGGCCCAGACUCCUACGGGAGGCAGCAGUGGGGAAUUUUGGACAAUGGGCGAAAGCCUGAUCCAGCAAUGCCGCGUGCAGGAUGAAGGCCUUCGGGUUGUAAACUGCUUUUGUACGGAACGAAAAGCCCUGGGUUAAUACCCUGGGGUCAUGACGGUACCGUAAGAAUAAGCACCGGCUAACUACGUGCCAGCCGCCGCGGUAA